This 497-nucleotide ribosomal RNA is filed under the name uncultured bacterium. RNAcentral describes it as "partial 16S ribosomal RNA". It matches the Rfam family "Bacterial small subunit ribosomal RNA", at positions 28 to 507 of the family's 1533-position model. The record is from RNAcentral.
GAUGAACGCUGGCGGCGUGCCUAAUACAUGCAAGUCGAGCGAACGGACGAGAAGCUUGCUUCUCUGAUGUUAGCGGCGGACGGGUGAGUAACACGUGGAUAACCUACCUAUAAGACUGGGAUAACUUCGGGAAACCGGAGCUAAUACCGGAUGAUAUUUUGAACCGCAUGGUUCAAAAGUGAAAGACGGUCUUGCUGUCACUUAUAGAUGGAUCCGCGCUGCAUUAGCUAGUUGGUAAGGUAACGGCUUACCAAGGCAACGAUGCAUAGCCGACCUGAGAGGGUGGUCGGCCACACGGGAACUGAGACACGGUCCAGACUCCUACGGGAGGCAGCAGUAGGGAAUCUUCCGCAAUGGGCGAAAGCCUGACGGAGCAACGCCGCGUGAGUGAUGAAGGUCUUCGGAUCGUAAAACUCUGUUAUUAGGGAAGAACAUAUGUGUAAGUAACUGUGCACAUCUUGACGGUACCUAAUCAGAAAGCCACGGCUAACUACGUG